RNAcentral lists this ribosomal RNA (226 nucleotides) under uncultured bacterium. RNAcentral describes it as "partial 16S ribosomal RNA". It matches the Rfam family "Bacterial small subunit ribosomal RNA", at positions 571 to 793 of the family's 1533-position model. The record is from RNAcentral.
GCAGGCGGUUUUUCUAAGUCUGAUGUGAAAGCCUUCGGCUUAACCGGAGAAGUGCAUCGGAAACUGGAUAAACUUGAGUGCAGAAGAGGGUAGUGGAACUCCAUGUGUAGCGGUGGAAUGCGUAGAUAUAUGGAAGAACACCAGUGGCGAAGGCGGCUACCUGGUCUGCAACUGACGCUGAGACUCGAAAGCAUGGGUAGCGAACAGGAGUUAGAUACCCUGGUAG